GGAGAUUGAGGUUUUUCUUGGUUUGGUUUGAGGUUUCGUUUGGUAGUAAAUUAUGAAUGUAAAAAAUAUUGUUGACGAUUGUGAACGAGAGUUGUGUUGAGGUUAUAGAAAAUAAGGAUUUUGUGUUGAUUGUGAAUGAAAGUGGUUUGGUAGUGGUUUGGUUUGAGGUUUGGUUUUGUGAACGAUUAUGAAGGAGACUGGGUUGGUAGUUUUGUGGUUUGAGGUUUGGUUUUGUGAACGAUUGUGAAGGAGAGUGGGUUGGUAGUGGUUUGGUUUUGUGAAGGAGACUUGUGUAAAGGUUGUGAACGAGUUGUAAAAACUAAAAAUGACACAAAAGAAAGUGAAUAUAAUUUUUGUGAAAUACAAAGUGAAUGAAAUUGUUUUGAGAAGUGAAAACAAUUGUUGUCAAAGAGAAAGCGAAUGCAAUACAAAG
Molecule: long non-coding RNA, 433 nt
Filed under: Capsella grandiflora
Lineage: Eukaryota; Viridiplantae; Streptophyta; Magnoliopsida; Brassicales; Brassicaceae
Description: long non-coding RNA (CGRA_LNC000546)
Source: RNAcentral